This 2466-nucleotide long non-coding RNA is filed under the name Marmota monax (woodchuck). Lineage: Eukaryota; Metazoa; Chordata; Mammalia; Rodentia; Sciuridae. The record is from RNAcentral.
GGAUCCUUCUCUAAAAUAGACCAUAUAUUAUGCCACAAAGAAACUCUUAACAAAUACAAAAAGUAGACACUACCCUGCAUUCUAUCACACAUCAUUGGAAUAAAAUUAGAAAUCAAUGGUAAAAUUAAGAAUAAAAUCUGCCCCAACACUUGGAGACUAAAUAAUAUGCUACUGAAUGAACAAUGGGUUGCAAAAGACAUCAAGGAGGAGACUAAAAAAUUCUUAGAAGUAAAUGAGAACAUUCAUACAACAUAUUGAAAUCUCUGGGACACUAUGAAGGCAGUACUAAAAGGAAAUUUCAUUGCAUGGAGUUUAUUCCUUAAAGGAAGAAAAAGUCAACAAAUGAAUGACCUAACAUUGCAUUUUAAAGCCCUAGAAAAAGAAGAACAAAUCAACGUUGAAAGCAGUAGAAGACAGAAGUAAUUAAAAUCAGAGCUAAAAUCAAUAAAAUUUAAACAAAAGAAAAAACUGAAAAAACCCCUUAGCCAUGCUAUCAAAGAGAAAGAGACAGAAGACUCAAAUCACUAACAUACUCAUGAAAAAGAAAUAUUAAAACAGACACCACAGAAAUACACUAUACGAUUAGAAAUUAUUUUGAAAACUUGUGCUCCAAUAAAAUAGAGAAUAUUAUAGGCAUUGACAAAUUUCUAGAAUCAUAUGAUUUGCCCAAAUUGAAUCAGGAUAAUAUAAACAAUUUAAACAGAUCAUUUUUAAGCAGUGAAAUAGAAGACACCAUCAGAAGCCUACCAAUUAAGAAAAGCCCAGACUAGAUGGAUACACAGCUGAAUUCUACAGGACCUAUAAAGAAGAAAUAAUACCUAUACUCUUCAAAUUAUAUUGUGAAAUAUAAAAAGAGGGAGAAUUUCCAAAUUCAUUAUAUGAGGCUAAUAUCACCCGGAUACCAAAACCAGACAAAGACACAACAAGGAAAGAAAACUUCAGGCCAAUAUCUCUAAUAAACAUAGAUGUAAAAAUUCUCAAUAAAAUUCUGGCAAAUCAAAUACAAAAACAUAUCCAAAUGAUAGUGCCCCUUUAUCAAGUGAGGUUCAUCCUAGGGAUGCAAGGUUGGUUCAACAUAUGGAAAUCAAUAAAUGUAAUUCAUCACAUUAAUAAACUUGAAGAUAAGAAUCAUAUGAUCAUCUCAAUAGUUGCAGAAAAAGCAUUUGACAAAAUACAGAACCCAUUCGUAUUCAAAGCACUAUAAAAACUGGGGAUAAAAGGAACAUAUCUCAACAUUGUAAAAGCUAUCUAUGCUAGACCCUAGGCCAACAACAUUCUAAAUGGAGAAAAACUGAAAGCACUCCAUCUAAAAACUGAAACAAGAAAGGAAUGCCCUCUUUCACCACUUCUUUUUAACAUGGUUCUUGAAAAACUGGCCAGAGCAAUUAGAGAGAAGAAAGAAAUUAAAAGAAUAUGGAUAGUAAAAAUAAGAACUCAAAUUAGCACUAAUUGCUGAUAAUAUGACUCUACAUAUAGAAGACCAAAAAUUUAAACAGAAAAAUUCUAGAACUAGUAAAUGAGUUCAUCAAAGUAGCAGGAUACAAAAUCAUAAAUCAAAGGGAUUUCUGUACAUCAGUGACAAAUACUCUGAAAAGGAAAUGAGGAAAACUACCCCAUUUGUGAUAGCCUCCUCCCAAAAUAAAAUACUUGGGAAUUAACCUAACAAAAGAGGUUAAAGACCACUACAACAAAAACAAUAGAAGGCUAAAGAAAGAAAUUAAAGAAAUCUUUAGAAGAUGGAAAAAUCUCCAUUGUUCUUGGAUAGGCAAAAUUAAUAUUAUCAAAAUGACCAUAUUACCAAAAGCACUAUACAGAUUUAAUGGAAUUCCAAUCAAAACCCCAAUGAAAUUUCUCAUAGAAAUAGAAAAAGUGGUCAUGAAAUUCAUCUGGAAAAAAUAAGAGACCCAGAAUCACUAAAGCAAUCCUUAGCAGGAAGAGUGAGGCAGAUGGUAUCAAUAUACAAGAUCUUAAACUAUACUACAGAACAAUACUAACAAAAACACCAUGCUAUUGGCACCAAAAUACAAUGGUAGACCAGUGGUACAGAAUAGAGGGCACAGAGACUGUCCCACAUAAUUACCGUUAUAUUAUACAAAGUUGCCAAAACAUAUUGGAGAAAAGAUGGUGUCUUCAACAAAUGGUUCUAGGAAAACUGGAAAUCCAUAUGCAACAAAAUGAAAUUAAAGCCCUAUCUCUCACCAUUCACAAAACUCAACUCAAAGUGGAUCAAGGACCUAGGAAUUAAAUCAGAGACACUGUGCCUAUUAAAAGUUAAAGUAGGCCCAAAUCUCUAUCAUGUCAGAUUAGGCCCCAACUUCUUUAAUAAUACUCCUAUAAUGCAAGAAUUAAAAUUUAACAAUUAAUAAAUAGGAUGGAUUCAAAAGCUUCUUCUGAGCAGAAGAAACAUCUUGGGAGCAAAUUUUUACCACUCUUACAAUGGAUAGAGUACUAAUCUCUAGGGUAUAU